Molecule: long non-coding RNA, 2399 nt
Filed under: Solanum tuberosum (potato)
Lineage: Eukaryota; Viridiplantae; Streptophyta; Magnoliopsida; Solanales; Solanaceae
Description: long non-coding RNA (STUB_LNC001474)
Source: RNAcentral
GUGUCUUCUAUCUCUUGUUAGCAGCAGCGUACCAUCUUACAUCAAUUAAGUAAUGAACUCAAUAAGUCAUAACAUGACUAUCUUACAGCUUAAUUCCAAACAGAAUAUGUACAUCUUCAUUACGUUUUUCCUCAAAAAUACCCUGCAAAUAUAAAAUAUCUAUUGUCAUUCCAUCAUCACCACAUGUAUAAAUUCCAAGUUAACAAGAAAAGUUUAUUGACAUCACCUUUUGCUGCGAGAAUAGUAGAAAAGUCCAUUUGAUGAGGAUUCUGAGAGGUGGAGCAGCAGCCUUGUACACUUGCAGCAGGAUGAUCUUGCACAUGAAAAGCUGUUGUUGCAGAUAUAACAUUUCUUUUUAGCUCCCGACUGUUUGUUUGACGUUGUAGUAAUUGUGCCUCUCUUUUUUCUGCAGAAACCAGUCUAUCCAUUUCACGUCGUCUAAGUUUCAUCUUAGCAGACCUUUUUGUUGAGAGGGAGUCAUCAUUCUUUUCUUUAGAACUCAUUAGCCCUGCAUGUUCAAUGUGUAUAGCUAUUUUAAAUUGGUAAAGAACAACAAUUGCCACUGCACAAAGUAUUCAUUUUUAUAGUGAAACCAACUAAAUGUCCACGGGUGUGUAUCGCAUUCGCCAAAAGAGAUAGUAUUUGAUAAUGAUAAGGAUGGUGAUAUUCAUCCAAUUCAAUGUCAACGGGUGUGUAUCGCAUUCGCCUAAAGAGAUAGUAUUUGAUAGGAAUAGGGCUAAUGAUAUUCAUGAAAUUUAAUUUUGGUAUUGUAGUUGCUGGUGUGUUCUUAUGGAGGGGAAAAUGGGCUGAGUGAAGUGUGAAUUCUACUUUCUUCACUCUAUCAGAUCCAUCCAAUACACAUAACUACUACAUAGAAAAACCUUAACUCCUACUCGCAAAACAGCUAAAACUUUGUUAAGUUUGCUGACAGCAAGAACAAAAACAAAAUUUACACAAUUAUGUGUAUGCCAACAAAAUAAAAUUAAACAAUCAAGUGUAGGCCGACAAAAUAAACUCCACACAGAGCCCACAUAUCAAACGAAAGGGGAAAAAAUGAAGCACAACAACUUCACAGUCAGCGGGAUGUAACCCACAGAAGUCGAACAAAGGACGAAUCAGUAAGUGUAGUCAGAGUUUAUAAAGUUAAAAAAGUAGAAAUCACAGUAGAAGUAAAGCAGCCAGAUUUUUUACAUUAACUAUGCAUUCUCUAUUCCUCUCGGCUUAGGAACUAAUAACCAUGCGGAGAUUCGAGCUGCAAUAGAUGGGGUGGACUGGUGCAUACAACAUGGGUAUAGGAAAAUUCAGCUGGAAGUUGAUUCUCAGCUGCUUAUACAUUGGCUAAAUCACAGCAACCAUCCUCCAUGGGCACUCCAACAGUGUAUUCAGGACCUUCAAAGGCUCACAAAUCAGCUGGAAAUCUUCAAGUGCAAUCACAUAUAUAGAGAGGCAAAUUGUACAGCUGACUUCCUAUCUAAAUGGAGUCAUAACUCCGACAUUCUAUAGCAAUUUUACACCUACCAGCAGCUGACCAGGUUGGCCAAAGGAAGCUAUGUUUUAGAAAAAUUGGGUUUGACUACUUUCAGGAGGAAAAAGUUGAAAAGAAUCAAACAUCCUCCCUGAUCCUUGCAACUAGGACCAAUUGUACCUCUAUAUGUAGUUCUACACAAUGGUCUCAACUUGAAAAAUUUCUUCGUCAGUUUCGCACGUACAAGUCCACAAUUCUCUAACACUUGUAAUCAAUUUCCAGAAGAAUGCUUAGCCAUUCAUUUCUAUCCAAAGCUAACUUAAUCACUGCACCCUAAAAUCUAAAUAAAAUGGAAAGCAUGACUAGAUAAACAAUUUCAGAAACUAAUAAAGUUGAAGCAACAAAAACAUAAUACUUAUAAGAUUUACACUAAUUUAGUGAUUAAUAAACUAGCAUUACGUUUGGCCUUUAAAGAAUCUAUGGGAGUUGAGACCCCAUCAAAACACCUCAUAUUUCUUUCAACCAUAUGCUCCAAAAAAUGCAAACAGGUAUUUAUCAACUUCCCACAAACACCCAGAUCUGUAUGCUUUCCUUGCUGAUUUAUACUUAUUUAGUGAUUAAUCAACUGAUGUGGGUAAUACAACUACGAGCUAAACUCCCAAAAAUCAACAAAAAUCGUAUUUGCAGACACAAGAAUAUCAAAACCCUAAAGCUAAAAUUUAGACUUUCAAAGAUAGAAUUUUUACCUGAUAAACCCUAUUCCACCAAAAUCCUUUCAAUGUGUUGAAGCUUUAAGACACCAUCUUCUCAAGUGAAGCAUUUUAGUGAGGCGUGUUCAUCUGUGAGGCAUAACCUUCUGCUCUUCAACAAGAAAUCGUGAAAUCGUGUUCUUCAGCGAGUAGCUCUUCAGCUCUUCAACGUGAAAUCGUGAAAU